Oxyura jamaicensis (ruddy duck) is the source of this 1789-nucleotide long non-coding RNA. RefSeq lists it as uncharacterized. The record is from RefSeq and is a predicted model, not a curated record. NCBI's taxonomy places the organism in Eukaryota, Metazoa, Chordata, Aves, Anseriformes, Anatidae. The transcript has 4 exons.
UCUGGACAGACAAGGCUGACACCUAGUGACGGGAUGGAUUUAUUCCUAAGGGGAUUCACCGAGUCCUGGUUCAGUGACUGUUCAGUCAUUUCUAAAUCCGGAAGGUUUAAACUUCAAAUUGGGUAGUCCAUUUGUUUCAUCAUCACUUUUGGACUUUAUUUUCAGUGUUUCUAGUGUACUCUUCUAAAGGUCACGUUAAGGUGGCUUGAAAGCUUGUUAAGUAUUGGAGCCAUGAAGGUUUUGCAUGUGUUCUGAGAGCGGUACCCUGCAGCUGCCCAAAGCAACCGGGAGAUGGCUGAUAGCAGUCAGUAGGGGUACUGCUAAAAUGAGAGUGGAGACUUAGCUUUGCCUCUCCAGAGAUAAAGCCUUGCAAGCAGCCACGAUCCCUUCCCUGAGCCUUUCUCUGUCACGAUGACAAGUAUCUCACUGCUGUCAGGCCCGCGUAGGAAAUCCACACAGCGACGCGGAGAAUGUUUAUUGUGGAGGGAGAACUUUUGCCCUGUGAAGUCACCUCCUACCAGUCACCAGACCAGCUCCACUCCGCAGCAAGCUCCUCACCUUCCCCUCCUGCUCCCCCAGCUCUGCAGAUCUGGAUGCCUCUGGCCUCAGCUGCCACUUCGUCAUCCCGGCCGGCUCAGGAAAAGGAGUCAUUUGUUGCCUGAACAUUGGGCUGAGUUGGUAAAAGUGACCGAAAAUGAAUCCGUAGGUUAGUUCCAGACUUUGGAUUUUGCCUGUCCCUGGAAGACUCUGUGGCUAAACAGAAAUAACAAUACAGGAGUGAAAGCUGAGAAAUGCAAUUGAAAGGGUUUCUGCUAAUGGGGCAGCCCCAGCACUCUCCAAAAGGUACAGCACAUGACUCAGCAGCCUCUGCCAUGGCUAACACCAUACUGACUGCUGAGCGCUGAGUUACUUGGCCAUGAACCUGUGCAGACAACCAACCACAUGCUCUUCUUGUGGGCUCUUUGUGGAGGUGCCACCAGGUGUCUCUGAUCCCUGGGACCUGGGCUGUCUCCAUAAGAAGGGUGAGGAGACGUGGGUGGUCUGGGGAGAAGCUGCCACCAUCCCCAGAGAGAAAGGUAACAUCAAAGAGGGACCUCUGCUGUUGUUUUCCUUCCUGCAGCUAUGGGUUGGUGAGUGCUGUCAGAGGAGUGGUUGCAAGCUUCUGCAGUUCACUGAGCUGCCUCUGCUCCUGGGAGGGACAUAAAAGGUUAGCUGGACAGAAGUGUGUGUGCCAGAGCAGCAGGAACAAGCAGUCCUCCUGCAAGUGCCUGACAACCUCAUGUGAAGAACAAAUUCCUCGGCACACCCAGCAGCUGAUGCUGGUGCACUGCAGCCUGGGGUAGGCACCACGGUCUGUAGCACCAAGCAGGGUGCAGAGCAUCAGUGUUGAAGUAGUGAUGUGGAUUCAGGGCUUAUGUGGGUUUUGGAGCCUGGUUUGGUACGUGCACCAAUGGAGAUGUCUUUCAACAGUUCUUUGUUUCUCUUUCUUCUACUGCUUUAUCCCUUGAAUUUUACAGUAAGAGCUUAGGACAGGGGUAAGGCUUUUGCUCUGUGAAGUAUUGCAUGGCAAGAUGGCAGAAGGUAAGAACAGUAGGUAGAAGGUGAAGAACUUCUUAGGCCUGCAUUUCAGGCUCCUGAUCUCCCACGUAUCCAUAUUGUAAAGUCCCUUUCCAGCUGAUUUUCAGUUUCUCUGUAAUGAGAGGAGAAGCAUUUUGAAGAUUGGCUUUCCACACCAGAAGAGAUUAGAUAAAAAGAUGAUGCAAGCUCACUUUAAAGAAAGAAAAAAAAA